Molecule: ribosomal RNA, 305 nt
Filed under: uncultured bacterium
Lineage: Bacteria
Description: bacterial SSU rRNA
Rfam family: Bacterial small subunit ribosomal RNA
Source: RNAcentral
UGACCUACGGGGGGCAGCAGUGGGGAAUAUUGCACAAUGGGGGAAACCCUGAUGCAGCGACGCCGCGUGGGUGAAGAAGUAUUUCGGUAUGUAAAGCCCUAUCAGCAGGGAAGAAAGAGGACGGUACCUGACUAAGAAGCCCCGGCUAACUACGUGCCAGCAGCCGCGGUAAUACGUAGGGGGCAAGCGUUAUCCGGAUUUACUGGGUGUAAAGGGAGCGUAGACGGCAGAUCAAGUCUGGAGUGAAAUCCCGGGGCUCAACCCCGGAGCUGCUCUGGAAACUGAGAAGCUAGAGUACUGGAGAG